RNAcentral lists this non-coding RNA (21 nucleotides) under Arabidopsis thaliana (thale cress). The record is from RNAcentral. Lineage: Eukaryota; Viridiplantae; Streptophyta; Magnoliopsida; Brassicales; Brassicaceae.
UAACAAGGAGAUAUUCGCGGA